Molecule: ribosomal RNA, 380 nt
Filed under: uncultured eukaryote
Lineage: Eukaryota
Description: partial 18S ribosomal RNA
Rfam family: Eukaryotic small subunit ribosomal RNA
Source: RNAcentral
CAAUAGCGUAUAUUAAAGUUGUUGCAGUUAAAAAGCUCGUAGUUGGAUUUGUGGCGUACGGUGUGUUCCGGGCACUUGUUGUCUGAGUAACCUGCUGUUGCCAUCCUUGGGUGGAACCUGUGUGGCAUUAGGUUGUCGUGCAGGGGAUGCCCAUCAUUUACUGUGAAAAAAUUAGAGUGUUCAAAGCAGGCUUAUGCCGUUGAAUAUAUUAGCAUGGAAUAAUGAGAUAGGGCUUUUUUGCUAUUUUGUUGGUUUGCGCAAGAAGGUAAUGAUUAAUAGGGACAGUUGGGGGUAUUCGUAUUCCAUUGUCAGAGGUGAAAUUCUUGGAUUUUUGGAAGACGAACUACUGCGAAAGCAUUUACCAAGGAUGUUUUCAUUAA